CACGCCAAUCCCGGGGCGGCGGGGGCGGUGCCUCGCUCUCUCCGCAAUAAAACUUUUUGAUGUCCUCCUUGCUAAUUGCUGAGGUCCUCUCCCAGGAUUGGCUACUCCUUCAUAACCAUAAGAUAAUUAAAACGGGGGUGGGGGAGAGAGUAAAAAAAAACCUUUUUAUCAGUCAGAGGUUAAUGCAAGUGUUUAGCAGAUGCUUCGCUAUUAAAAUAUCCCCUACCCCCACCCCCCAGUCUCAAAAUUUGAAGAAUUUCAAGUCAGGGUCCUCAGCCUCAACAAACUCCUUCAGGGUGCAGGCACCCCGAAUUGAUGGUGUGGCCAGGAUUGGUGUUCCACUGGUUUAACUAGCCUGUUUGGUCCAGUUUCAAUAUCACCUACUUCAGGAAGCCUCCUCUAACCCCUAAAUCAUGUCUCCUUUCGGGUGCUCUUUCGUGUUCUCUUUGGCAGAUCUCUGGGUACCUCCUGUUACUGCCGAGUCACAGUCAAUGCACUGCACCCAGUAGGUAAUGACAGAAACCAGCGAAUUCUGCAAACUCCUAUUGCAAUCAGAUUAGUUGUCCUUAUUUUGAAAGUGACUACAGCUAGAAGAAGAGUUAGACUUCGUCCAUCAGAGAACAAACAGGUCUUCAUUUCUAAGCCCCCUGGAGAACCAAGACGUUUUGCACUGGAUAGAUCAUACUUGUGAUAGCUCUGCAUCCUGUUCUGCAUACUGGAAUGACAGACUCAUCCCUGGCCUGGCCUUCCGGAAACCCACCCUCCACGCCACACCGCCCCGCCCCUCUCCACCCCUUCCAGCUCAGCAUAGCUCCGCCGGGCGAACUCUUCCUGCUUAGAUUGGCUGCUUGACCUGAGACCUGCUUGGAACCUUAGUUUUCCCAUCUGGAAGAUGGGGGUAAUGGCGUGGACCUCGAAGGCGUGUGGGGGAGGAUAAGAUGAGAUCCAGGUAGACGCAAGAGCCCAACAUCCAGACUGUGAUCAAUAAAUAUCCAUGUGUUUUCCCUUU
Erinaceus europaeus (western European hedgehog) is the source of this 1009-nucleotide long non-coding RNA. RefSeq lists it as uncharacterized. NCBI's taxonomy places the organism in Eukaryota, Metazoa, Chordata, Mammalia, Eulipotyphla, Erinaceidae. The transcript is spliced from 3 exons. The record is from RefSeq and is a predicted model, not a curated record.